GCGAACCGGGGGAACUGAAACAUCUAAGUACCCCGAGGAAAAGAAAUCAACCGAGAUUCCCCCAGUAGCGGCGAGCGAACGGGGAGCAGCCCAGAGCCUGAAUCAGUGUGUGUGUUAGUGGAAGCGUCUGGAAAGGCGCGCGAUACAGGGUGACAGCCCCGUACACAAAAAUGCACAUGCUGUGAGCUCGAUGAGUAGGGCGGGACACGUGGUAUCCUGUCUGAAUAUGGGGGGACCAUCCUCCAAGGCUAAAUACUCCUGACUGACCGAUAGUGAACCAGUACCGUGAGGGAAAGGCGAAAAGAACCCCGGCGAGGGGAGUGAAAAAGAACCUGAAACCGUGUACGUACAAGCAGUGGGAGCACGCUUAGGCGUGUGACUGCGUACCUUUUGUAUAAUGGGUCAGCGACUUAUAUUCUGUAGCAAGGUUAACCGAAUAGGGGAGCCGAAGGGAAACCGAGUCUUAACUGGGCGUUAAGUUGCAGGGUAUAGACCCGAAACCCGGUGAUCUAGCCAUGGGCAGGUUGAAGGUUGGGUAACACUAACUGGAGGACCGAACCGACUAAUGUUGAAAAAUUAGCGGAUGACUUGUGGCUGGGGGUGAAAGGCCAAUCAAACCGGGAGAUAGCUGGUUCUCCCCGAAAGCUAUUUAGGUAGCGCCUCGUGAAUUCAUCUCCGGGGGUAGAGCACUGUUUCGGCAAGGGGGUCAUCCCGACUUACCAACCCGAUGCAAACUGCGAAUACCGGAGAAUGUUAUCACGGGAGACACACGGCGGGUGCUAACGUCCGUCGUGAAGAGGGAAACAACCCAGACCGCCAGCUAAGGUCCCAAAGUCAUGGUUAAGUGGGAAACGAUGUGGGAAGGCCCAGACAGCCAGGAUGUUGGCUUAGAAGCAGCCAUCAUUUAAAGAAAGCGUAAUAGCUCACUGGUCGAGUCGGCCUGCGCGGAAGAUGUAACGGGGCUAAACCAUG
RNAcentral lists this ribosomal RNA (972 nucleotides) under Escherichia coli. RNAcentral describes it as "bacterial LSU rRNA". It matches the Rfam family "Bacterial large subunit ribosomal RNA", at positions 179 to 1191 of the family's 2925-position model. The record is from RNAcentral. Lineage: Bacteria; Pseudomonadati; Pseudomonadota; Gammaproteobacteria; Enterobacterales; Enterobacteriaceae.